This 301-nucleotide ribosomal RNA is filed under the name uncultured bacterium. Its description in RNAcentral is "partial 16S ribosomal RNA". It matches the Rfam family "Bacterial small subunit ribosomal RNA", at positions 509 to 807 of the family's 1533-position model. The record is from RNAcentral.
CAGUAGCCGCGGGAAUACGGAGGGGGCUAGCGUUGUUCGGAAUUACUGGGCGUAAAGCGCACGUAGGCGGCUUUGUAAGUUAGAGGUGAAAGCCCGGAGCUCAACUCCGGAAUUGCCUUUAAGACUGCAGAGCUAGCAGGUGAGAGAGGUGAGUGGAAUUCCGAGUGUAGAGGUGAAAUUCGUAGAUAUUCGGAAGAACACCAGUGGCGAAGGCGGCUUACUGGCUCAUUCUAGACGCUGAGGUGCGAAAGCGUGGGGAGCAAACAGGAUUAGAUACCCCCGUAGUCCCUGUCUCUUAUAC